Molecule: ribosomal RNA, 506 nt
Filed under: uncultured bacterium
Lineage: Bacteria
Description: partial 16S ribosomal RNA
Rfam family: Bacterial small subunit ribosomal RNA
Source: RNAcentral
AGUGAACGCUGGCGGUAGGCCUAACACAUGCAAGUCGAACGGCAGCACAGGAGAGCUUGCUCUCUGGGUGGCGAGUGGCGGACGGGUGAGGAAUACAUCGGAAUCUACUUUUUCGUGGGGGAUAACGUAGGGAAACUUACGCUACUACCGCAUACGACCUACGGGUGAAAGCAGGGGACCUUCGGUCCUUGCGCGAUUGAAUGAGCCGAUGUCGAAUUACCUAGAUGGCGGGGUAAAGGCCCACCAAGGCGACGAGCGGUAGCUGGUCUGAGAGGACGAUCAGCCACACUGGAACUGAGACACGGUCCAGACUCCUACGGGAGGCAGCAGUGGGGAAUAUUGGACAAUGGGCGCAAGCCUGAUCCAGCCAUACCGCGUGGGUGAAGAAGGCCUUCGGGUUGGAAAGCCCUUUUGUUGGGAAAGAAAUCCAGCUGGCUAAUACCCGGUUGGGAUGACGGUACCCAAAGAAUAAGCACCGGCUAACUUCGUGCCAGCAGCCGCCGUAA